This 465-nucleotide ribosomal RNA is filed under the name uncultured bacterium. RNAcentral describes it as "partial 16S ribosomal RNA". It matches the Rfam family "Bacterial small subunit ribosomal RNA", at positions 338 to 795 of the family's 1533-position model. The record is from RNAcentral.
CCUACGGGAGGCAGCAGUAGGGAAUCUUCCACAAUGGGCGCAAGCCUGAUGGAGCAACACCGCGUGAGUGAAGAAGGGUUUCGGCUCGUAAAGCUCUUUUGUUGGAGAAGAACGUUCGUGAGAUUAACUGUCCACGCAGUGACGGUAUCCACCCAGAAAGUCACGGCUAACUACUUGCCAGCAGCCGCGGUAAUACGUUGGUGGCAAGCAUUAUCCGGAUUUAUUGGGCGUAAAGCGAGCGUAGGCGGUUGCUUAGGUCUGAUGUGAAAGCCGUCGGCUUAACCGACGAAGUGCAUCGGAAACGGGGAGACUUGAGUGAAGGAGAGGAAAGUGGAACUCCAGGUGUAGCGGUGAAAUGCGUAGAUAUAUGGAAGAACACCAGUGGCGAAGGCGGGUGUCUGGUCUGCAACUGACGCUGAGGCUCGAAAGCAUGGGGAGCGAAAAGGAUUAGAUACCCGUGUAGUC